Molecule: ribosomal RNA, 484 nt
Filed under: uncultured bacterium
Lineage: Bacteria
Description: partial 16S ribosomal RNA
Rfam family: Bacterial small subunit ribosomal RNA
Source: RNAcentral
AUUGAACGCUGGCGGCAGGCCUAACACAUGCAAGUCGAGCGGAUGAAGGGAGCUUGCUCCUGGAUUCAGCGGCAGACGGGUGAGUAAUGCCUAGGAAUCUGCCUGGUAGUGGGGGAUAACGUCCGGAAACGGGCGCUAAUACCGCAUACGUCCUGAGGGAGAAAGUGGGGGAUCUUCGGACCUCACGCUAUCAGAUGAGCCUAGGUCGGAUUAGCUAGUUGGUGGGGUAAAGGCCUACCAAGGCGACGAUCCGUAACUGGUCUGAGAGGAUGAUCAGUCACACUGGAACUGAGACACGGUCCAGACUCCUACGGGAGGCAGCAGUGGGGAAUAUUGGGCAAUGGGCGAAAGCCUGAUCCAGCCAUGCCGCGUGUGUGAAGAAGGUCUUCGGAUUGUAAAGCACUUUAAGUUGGGAGGAAGGGCAGUAAGUUAAUACCUUGCUGUUUUGACGUUACCAACAGAAUAAGCACCGGCUAACUUCGUG